GGUCGUACUAUAUAUUAUGUAUGAGAUAUAUUUUGCAUAAGAGAGAAAACUGCUCCAACAGAGCUGAUGUGUCAGUCCUAGUCAUGUGGACCUUGAUACUGGAGUCUGAGACAGCAGAACUAUGGGUCUAUGGGUAUGAGGUGUUUGAGAUUGUGUGUUUUUGAGUGUUGUAGUGCAGGGAUACUUUAACAUUUUCACCUUGGGACCCGAAAUACAAUCUCAGUGUGUCCCUGGAACCCAACCAACACCAAGAAUUAGUGAACCUUCCGGUCACUACAGACAGACUACUGUACAGAAGAAGCGGAGCUACAUUGAGGCUUGUCUGCAGCGUGUUGGAGUUGGAGUUGGAGUAGUUACCAGGAGCUGGAUGUCGAAGGCCAGGGCCUUAAACUGAAGACUAGAGGAGUUCUUCAAGUCGUCAGUGAAGAUGACUCCUUCUGUGAUCGUCAAGCGACCCUCCAACGGCGAUCUAUCUGAAGACCACCAGGGAGAAACCUUCCUCGUCAUCGUUCUAUUCACCAGGCUGAGCCAGGACACAGCCAGGAGUCCAACACACAGGAGGAGGAGAAGAAAACACAAGACGAACAGGAGAACCUCUGACCACGAUCUCCUCAUGGUGCUGCCCUAAACCCAGGACAGAGCGUCACCAUCUAACCCCAGCAUACACAUGAAUAUUACCACCUAACCCCAGCAUUAAAAUACCUAUGAGGACCUCAUCCCAGGAUAGAACGUUACUAUACCAACUAGCCCCAGAGUAGAACAUGACUCUUAUCACCACUACGUUAAUCUCUUGAAGGAUAACUAAUGUAUGAUUUAAUACAUUUCUCACUUUAUAUUUAAGUGAUUUAAAGUUGAAUCAGGGAUAAGUCUUUAAUUACUCACAGAGGAACCUAUAAAGUACGAUCCCUUCAGCUGCUUAGAUGUUUCCUCGGAUGUGGUCCUUACGUUUACCUUCCUCUGUGGUCUCCAGGACAUUCAGGUGUAUUAGUGGAACGCUUCCUUAAGACUUAGAGAGAUAAAACAGCUAAUGAGCCAAACUCACAUGGCUAUAAGGCUUUAAUCAGCGUCUCAAGUCCAAAACAGAAGAGAUAUGUCUUUCACUCUAUAGCUCAAAGGUCACCAGGAUCAACCUGUAACCUUACAGCCUACUGACUACACUCCGCUAGAACUGACACCCAGCACUGAUACUUUUAUUUUUAUCACUGAGGCCCAGUAUGCAUAUUUUACAUUCAGUAUGUUUCAGGCCGACCAGGAAACAAACCAUUAUAUACCUGCCUCAUCUAAUCGAAUAAACACAGAUACUGUACAACCAUUAUUAAGAAUAUAAACACAAUUUUAUUAAUAGACAGUAACAGUAUAAUAGUCAAACAACACGACUAUGAUACACUGAAACAUCAAUGCAAUAAAAAAUUAAAGAUGAGCUUAUUCAUCAUCUGUUAGCAGUUUUCAAGUAUGCAAUAAGCGUAUAAAAAUAAUGCUUGAUUUCUUAAUCUCUGUGGCCCUGUGGCCUUAGCAGCCCGGUAUUGGUCCGCGGCCCGGUGGUUGAGAACCUCUGCCAUAGACCCAGUACUGAUAGUGUACUCUAGUCACAGUAAUGAUACCACCCUAGACAGUAAUGAUACUUUUCCCUAGACCCAGUUCUCACACUUUACCUUAGACCCACUUGGUCUAGUAUGGAUUUUAAAUGUUUAAUAAAAACUUUGCAACAUUA
This is a long non-coding RNA of Gadus morhua (Atlantic cod), 1711 nucleotides long. RefSeq lists it as uncharacterized. The transcript has 2 exons. NCBI's taxonomy places the organism in Eukaryota, Metazoa, Chordata, Actinopteri, Gadiformes, Gadidae. The record is from RefSeq and is a predicted model, not a curated record.